Molecule: ribosomal RNA, 494 nt
Filed under: uncultured bacterium
Lineage: Bacteria
Description: partial 16S ribosomal RNA
Rfam family: Bacterial small subunit ribosomal RNA
Source: RNAcentral
GACGAACGCUGGCGGCGUGCCUAAUACAUGCAAGUCGAGCGGACUUAAAAAGCUUGCUUUUUAAGUUAGCGGCGGACGGGUGAGUAACACGUGGGCAACCUGCCUGUAAGACUGGGAUAACUUCGGGAAACCGGAGCUAAUACCGGAUAAUCCUUUUCUACUCAUGUAGAAAAGCUGAAAGACGGUUUACGCUGUCACUUACAGAUGGGCCCGCGGCGCAUUAGCUAGUUGGUGAGGUAACGGCUCACCAAGGCGACGAUGCGUAGCCGACCUGAGAGGGUGAUCGGCCACACUGGGACUGAGACACGGCCCAGACUCCUACGGGAGGCAGCAGUAGGGAAUCUUCCGCAAUGGACGAAAGUCUGACGGAGCAACGCCGCGUGAGUGAUGAAGGUGUUCGGAUCGUAAAACUCUGUUGUUAGGGAAGAACAAGUACGAGAGUAACUGCUCGUACCUUGACGGUACCUAACCAGAAAGCCACGGCUAACUACGUG